RNAcentral lists this ribosomal RNA (899 nucleotides) under Branchipus schaefferi. RNAcentral describes it as "partial large subunit ribosomal RNA". It matches the Rfam family "Eukaryotic large subunit ribosomal RNA", at positions 107 to 854 of the family's 3401-position model. The record is from RNAcentral. Lineage: Eukaryota; Metazoa; Arthropoda; Branchiopoda; Anostraca; Branchipodidae.
GCCCAGCACCAAGGGCUGGUCGUGGCGUCCCCGCCGCGGUUCAGCCGAUGCGGUGUUUAGGAACUCUCUGAACCACCGAGUGCCGAAUCUAAAGUCCUCAUGAAAGUGGCCCGAUUGCCCGAAGAGGGUGUCAGGCCCGUAGGAUAGGUGCUCGGGGGCCUAUGGGAGCUUCCUUAGAGUCGGGUUGCUUGAGCGUGCAGCCCUAAGCAGGUGGUAAACUCCAUCUAAGGCUAAAUAUGGAUACGAGACCGAUAGUGGACAAGUACCGCGAGGGAAAGUUGAAAAGAACUUUGAAGAGAGAGUUCAAUAGUGCGUGAAAUCCUCCAGGGGGUUAAACGGAUGGACCUUCGAAGCUCGAGCCGCAUACGGGAUCAGCGUUCGUGCGGCCCCUGUUGUGGUCGUGCGGUUGCGGCUUGCCGUGGCCGUGCGUGCUGCGACUGAGCGGCUGUGCGGGCGUGUAUUCCUGGGCGGAUUCGUACUCUGCACGUGACUGGUUGGGCGUCAGACGGGCUUGGUUUGAUGGCGUUUCGGCGUCAGCGGCCAGGUUCCCGGCGCCCGAUCGGUUCGUUCCUAGAGUCUGCCGGACAAUCGUGGCGAGCCGCAAGGCUGUCGGCCGCGGGGCCCAUGUCGGUGGACGCGCAGAGAGUAGGCGAGACCCAUCCGACCCGUCUUGAAACACGGACCAAGGAGUCUAACAUGUGCGCGAGUCGUAGGUUGAUAAAGACCGAAGGCGAAAUGAAAGUGAAGGCACUCUCGGGUGUCGAGGGGAGAUCCCGUUCCACCCAGGUGGGUCGGGCGCAUCCCCGGGGCGUCGCGUUCUCGUUGCAGAUGCGACGCACCAAGAGCGUACACGUUGGGACCCGAAAGAUGGUGACCUAUGCCUGGCCAGGUCGAAGUCA